Molecule: long non-coding RNA, 351 nt
Filed under: Apteryx owenii (little spotted kiwi)
Lineage: Eukaryota; Metazoa; Chordata; Aves; Apterygiformes; Apterygidae
Description: lncRNA (ENSAOWG00000007575.1)
Source: RNAcentral
AAUCGCUAGGCUACUGGCUGGGCCCUUCUGCUGGAGAUUUGUCACCGUGUAAAGUAUUGUUCUCUUUUGUUUUUCCAGACUGGUGAGAGAAAGAGCGGGCUCUUGUACCUACUCACGGGACUGUUUCUGCAUUUCAUCCUGUGACCAAAGUGGAGGUUUUCCCACCCUCAGGAAUCAUCUCGGUGAACUAGAUCUGCAAUCAGUGUGCUCCAAUGGCAAGUAGAAGAGCAUGGCUGACUGACCCCGUUAGCACAGUGGAGCUAAUUAACACUUGAUGAUUUGAAUGGUAAAACCUUAUGUAUUCCAUGUCCAUUCUCUGCUCUUUGUGUGUUUACAUCUUUGAAGUUGGUA